Non-coding RNA from Clostridium sp. CAG:242, 99 nucleotides. The record is from Rfam. Lineage: Bacteria; Bacillati; Bacillota; Clostridia; Eubacteriales; Clostridiaceae.
AUGUUGGUCCUGUGCGACAGGGUUCCAUGAACCAUGUCAGGCGGGGAACCGAGCAGCAUUAAGUGGCAACUUCUGUGCGCCGCAGGUAACCUGCAUUUC